CCAGGGAAGGCAGAAGCUCCAAGCUUGCCCAUUGUGGGCAGAGGGAUCCUCCUCGCAUCAUCACCACUGCUUGUAGAAUAACUGCUGAAUUUCAGGCUUCUACUGGCUAACCAUAAUGCCUCGGAGCCUAGCCCAGGAAGGGCCUUCCAGCAUCACCAGUCAUGCAAGAGCUAUCAGAUUUGAACUGAGAAGCUGACAAAAAAUCUUUGGAGGUACCUUGAAACAUUUCCCAUCACGAGUGCUCUUUGCAAAGAGAAGCAGCUUAAAAUUGGCAUGAAGUAGACAUUUCUGUAUAAUCUGACAUCUUCCAGAGAGAAAUCAGUCAUCUCUAAUUCCA
Molecule: long non-coding RNA, 337 nt
Organism: Pogoniulus pusillus (Red-fronted tinkerbird)
Lineage: Eukaryota; Metazoa; Chordata; Aves; Piciformes; Lybiidae
Exons: 3
Source: RefSeq, a predicted model, not a curated record